CAAAGAGUGGCGAACGGGUGAGUAACACGUGGGUAACCUACCUCUUAGCAGGGGAUAACAUUUGGAAACAAGUGCUAAUACCGUAUAACACUAACAACCGCAUGGUUGUUAGUUGAAAGAUGGUUCUGCUAUCACUAAGAGAUGGACCCGCGGUGCAUUAGCUAGUUGGUAAGGUAAUGGCUUACCAAGGCGAUGAUGCGUAGCCGAGUUGAGAGACUGAUCGGCCACAAUGGGACUGAGACACGGCCCAUACUCCUACGGGAGGCAGCAGUAGGGAAUCUUCCACAAUGGGCGCAAGCCUGAUGGAGCAACGCCGCGUGUGUGAUGAAGGGUUUCGGCUCGUAAAACACUGUUAUAAGAGAAGAACGACAUUGAGAGUAACUGUUCAGUGUGUGACGGUAUCUUAUCAGAAAGGAACGGCUAAAUACGUGCCAGCAGCCGCGGUAAUACGUAUGUUCCAAGCGUUAUCCGGAUUUAUUGGGCGUAAAGCGAGCGCAGACGGUUAUUUAAGUCUGAAGUGAAAGCCCUCAGCUCAACUGAGGAAGGGCUUUGGAAACUGGAUAACUUGAGUGCAGUAGAGGAAAGUGGAACUCCAUGUGUAGCGGUGAAAUGCGUAGAUAUAUGGAAGAACACCGGUGGCGAAAGCGGCUUUCUGGACUGUAACUGACGUUGAGGCUCGAAAGUGUGGGUAGCAAACAGGAUUAGAUACCCUGGUAGUCCACACCGUAAACGAUGAGUGCUAGAUGUUCGAGGGUUUCCGCCCUUGAGUGUCGCAGCUA
RNAcentral lists this ribosomal RNA (779 nucleotides) under uncultured bacterium. RNAcentral describes it as "bacterial SSU rRNA". It matches the Rfam family "Bacterial small subunit ribosomal RNA", at positions 89 to 854 of the family's 1533-position model. The record is from RNAcentral.